GCGAUCAUCAUUGAUGACUCUGGAAGACUCUAUGAUGAGUCCCAAGGAGACGUCUUCUGGUAACAAAGGAGGCCUGUACAAUGACUUUGACCUAACAGAGGCUGAAUUGAAGAUGAGUUUCAAGAAAGUGUUUGUUCUUUGGGAAACAAAAAAGAACAGGUCACCGGUUAGCGGAUGCUGUUGGUGUCCUGAAAACUCCCCUUUUAGAGCAGACUUCUCCUCCCCCAGCUGCUGUGAGGACUGGAUGCUGAUACCACCCUUCCCCAAAGUUUUGACUUCAACCAAAUAAAGGCAGCUUCACCCAGAGCUUGCAAGUCUUUGGCCUGAGGCCUGGCCGCCUCCCCUCAGGUGGAGCCGACGUGUGGAGUGACUCAUGACCCUGUGCUCCCCACUGUCAUCAGGCUGGAGCUAGCUGUGACCAUCAUAUUCUUGCUUAGCUUUCCCACUGUGCUAGCCGGCUUCCUUCACCCUGCUUCUCCUAAUUGAACUUUCACAAUAAAUCACUUACUGAA
Hipposideros armiger (great roundleaf bat) is the source of this 512-nucleotide long non-coding RNA. RefSeq lists it as uncharacterized. The transcript has 2 exons. NCBI's taxonomy places the organism in Eukaryota, Metazoa, Chordata, Mammalia, Chiroptera, Hipposideridae. The record is from RefSeq and is a predicted model, not a curated record.